Regulatory RNA element from Endozoicomonas elysicola, 48 nucleotides. It matches the Rfam family "Xanthine riboswitch aptamer (NMT1 RNA)". Rfam says of the family: Later it was reported as a ncRNA that recognised Xanthine. NCBI's taxonomy places the organism in Bacteria, Pseudomonadati, Pseudomonadota, Gammaproteobacteria, Oceanospirillales, Endozoicomonadaceae. The record is from Rfam.
GCAUUGAGUAGAAGCUGUCAAGGCGUCGCCUGGGUCAUUGCUCAACGC